This 380-nucleotide ribosomal RNA is filed under the name uncultured archaeon. RNAcentral's name for it is "bacterial SSU rRNA". It matches the Rfam family "Archaeal small subunit ribosomal RNA", at positions 473 to 853 of the family's 1478-position model. The record is from RNAcentral.
CCACCAGCCCCUCGAGUGGUGUGGAUGAUUAUUUGGCCUAAAGCGUCCGUAGCCGGCCGGGUAAGUUUCCCGUUAAAUCUAACGUCUCAAGCGUUGGACUGCGGGAAAUACUGCCUGGCUAGAGAGUGGGAGAGGUCAGCGGUAUUCUGGGGGUAGGGGCGAAAUCCUUUGAUCCCCGGAGGACCACCAGUGGCGAAGGCUGCUGACUAGAACACGUCUGACGGUCAGGGACGAAAGCUGGGGUAGCGGACCGGAUUAGAUACCCGGGUAGUCCCAGCCGUAAACGAUGCAUGCUAGGUGUUGGGUUGGCCACGAGCCACCCCAGUGCCGCAGGGAAGCCGUUAAGCAUGCCGCCUGGGAAGUACGAUCGCAAGAUUGAA